GUCCACGCCCUAAACUAUGUCAACUGGUUGUCGGGGAUUAACUCCCUUGGUAACGAAGCUAACGCGUGAAGUUGACCGCCUGGGGAGUACGGCCGCAAGGUUAAAACUCAAAGGAAUUGACGGGGACCCGCACAAGCGGUGGAUUAUGUGGAUUAAUUCGAUGCAACGCGAAAAACCUUACCUACCCUUGACAUGUACGGAAUUUCCCAGAGAUGGGAAAGUGCCCGAAAGGGAACCGUAACACAGGUGCUGCAUGGCUGUCGU
RNAcentral lists this ribosomal RNA (264 nucleotides) under uncultured bacterium. Its description in RNAcentral is "partial 16S ribosomal RNA". It matches the Rfam family "Bacterial small subunit ribosomal RNA", at positions 793 to 1055 of the family's 1533-position model. The record is from RNAcentral.